This 408-nucleotide ribosomal RNA is filed under the name uncultured bacterium. Its description in RNAcentral is "partial 16S ribosomal RNA". It matches the Rfam family "Bacterial small subunit ribosomal RNA", at positions 28 to 526 of the family's 1533-position model. The record is from RNAcentral.
GACGAACGCUGGCGGCGUGCUUAACACAUGCAAGUCGAACGGAGUGGCGAACGGGUGAGUAACACGUGGGUGAACUGCCUUGCACUUCGGGAUAAGCUGGGGAAACUGGGUCUAAUACCGGAUAGUGCAAGAUGAGCUCGCGGCCUAUCAGCUUGUUGGUGGGGUAAUGGCCGACCAAGGCGUCGACGGGUAGCCGGCCUGAGAGGGUGUACGGCCCCAAUGGGACUAGGAUACGGGCCAGAAUCCAACGGGAGGCAGCGGUGGGGAAUAUUGCACAAUGGGCGGAAGCCUGAUGCAGAGACGCCGCGUGGGGGAUGAAGGCCUUCGGGUUGUAAACUCCUUUCGACAGGGACGCGGUACCUGCAUAAGAAGCACCGGCUAACUACGUGCCAGCAGCCGCGGUAAUUC